RNAcentral lists this ribosomal RNA (484 nucleotides) under uncultured bacterium. Its description in RNAcentral is "partial 16S ribosomal RNA". It matches the Rfam family "Bacterial small subunit ribosomal RNA", at positions 30 to 507 of the family's 1533-position model. The record is from RNAcentral.
AUUGAACGCUGGCGGCAGGCCUAACACAUGCAAGUCGAGCGGAUGAAGGGAGCUUGCUCCUGGAUUCAGCGGCGGACGGGUGAGUAAUGCCUAGGAAUCUGCCUGGUAGUGGGGGAUAACGUCCGGAAACGGGCGCUAAUACCGCAUACGUCCUGAGGGAGAAAGUGGGGGAUCUUCGGACCUCACGCUAUCAGAUGAGCCUAGGUCGGAUUAGCUAGUUGGUGGGGUAAAGGCCUACCAAGGCGACGAUCCGUAACUGGUCUGAGAGGAUGAUCAGUCACACUGGAACUGAGACACGGUCCAGACCCCUACGGGAGGCAGCAGUGGGGAAUAUUGGACAAAGGGCGAAAGCCUGAUCCAGCCAUGCCGCGUGUGUGAAGAAGGUCUUCGGAUUGUAAAGCACUUUAAGUUGGGAGGAAGGGCAGUAAGUUAAUACCUUGCUGUCUUGACGUUACCAACAGAAUAAGCACCGGCUAACUUCGUG